This is a long non-coding RNA of Xiphophorus couchianus (Monterrey platyfish), 1060 nucleotides long. RefSeq lists it as uncharacterized. The record is from RefSeq and is a predicted model, not a curated record. The transcript has 2 exons. Lineage: Eukaryota; Metazoa; Chordata; Actinopteri; Cyprinodontiformes; Poeciliidae.
UGUGCUAUACAAAUAAAAUUUGAUUGACUUGCACUAUAAACUAGACAAAAAUACUUGGCAAGAUUUUGUGUUUUUGCAGUGCAGUAAUCGGUUUCUCACCUGUUGUUUGGGGCAUGAUGCGGUGGUUUUUCAGGUUCUAUUUAGAUAACUUUCUUGACUGAAUAAAAUCUGGGUGUUGCUGCUUUUCCAAAAAACGUAGCAAGUUGUAGUUAAUUCAUAAUUUAAGAAAGUAAUUUAGAUACCUUUCCUGUCGUUGUACUUGAAAACAGCUCUUUUUAUUUACCCAAGUUACGAUGAACUGAGAAAAAUAUCUGUUUCUGUCACUUUCGGUCUGUUGUGGAAAUCUCCUGCAGUCUUCUAAUUUCCAUAAGUGCUUUUCCUGCUUAAGAUUGAUGUGCCCGCAUGUAGACAGCAUGAAAAAUAGACGUGUUCGUUGUUGACGAGAUGCAGGACAAGAGAAGGUGAUUUCCUUUUCAUGUCUACAGCAGGCAGGAAUCCUGCAUGAGGCGCUUUACGGAGUGAGAGCAGAAGAAGACGUAAAAACGUGGCGCUGAUCUCAGAUUCACUGUGGCUGUUUAGGAAGGAAUAAUAAAGCAGCAGAUGCUAAAGUAGUUCCUCCUGGGUGCCAUCUUGUUGGAGGAAAAGCAAUAAGUGCGGAAGCAGCCCACUCCACUCAAUGCCACCUGAAUAAGUGAUGCUGCAGAAGGACUCUGAAGUAGAAACAGACAGGAAGCUGCCAUUCUGUUAGCGAAAACAAGCCAGUGAACUCAUCAUCAAUAAGUUGGUGGAAAAACUCUGCUUUUUCACAUUUCAGCUGCUCCAGUAUAACAUAUUUCCAGGAAGUCAGGGCAUACAGUACCAGAUUUAUUCUUAUUAUUAAUUUUUUAUAGCUUUUCUGUCCCACACUGCAAAAACACAAAAUCUCACCGAGUACUUUUUGAUAGUUUCUACUGCAAAUAUCUCAGUACACUUGAAAUAAGACAAAACUAACUUUUAGAUAAACUUUCAACAAGAUAAAGGUUCUUAAUUUAAGUCAAUCAUUUAUUAAUACUGACAAAAA